This 253-nucleotide ribosomal RNA is filed under the name uncultured bacterium. RNAcentral describes it as "partial 16S ribosomal RNA". It matches the Rfam family "Bacterial small subunit ribosomal RNA", at positions 524 to 776 of the family's 1533-position model. The record is from RNAcentral.
UACGAAGGGGGCUAGCGUUGUUCGGAAUCACUGGGCGUAAAGCGCACGCAGGCGGAUUGAUAAGUCAGGGGUGAAAUCCCGGAGCUCAACUUCGGAAUUGCCUUUGAUACUGUCUGUCUUGAGUCCGGGAGAGGUGAGUGGAAUUCCUAGUGUAGAGGUGAAAUUCGUAGAUAUUAGGAAGAACACCAGUGGCGAAGGCGGCUCACUGGCCCGGUACUGACGCUCAUGUGCGAAAGCGUGGGGAGCAAACAGG